RNAcentral lists this long non-coding RNA (3129 nucleotides) under Triticum aestivum (bread wheat). RNAcentral's name for it is "long non-coding RNA (TAES_LNC001177)". Lineage: Eukaryota; Viridiplantae; Streptophyta; Magnoliopsida; Poales; Poaceae. The record is from RNAcentral.
GUGAAGGAGCUGGUUUUGCGGCAUCUGUUGAACUUAGUCAAAUUAGGUGUGUUGUGUAUGUACCUUGGAGCUGAAAAUGUAACAUUAGCUCUAGAACUGGUUGCCUAUACUGAAGAAAUACAGGUUGGUAUUUUCAUCCCACUACUGUACAAUUUAUGUUAUUUUGUACAAUAUUCAUUUGGGGUAUUUGGUCUGUUAUAUUUAACUUCAUUUCUCUUCACAUUAUUGCCACGACAGAUACAUAUAUAGACUGAGGCUUGUGUCUCCUGGGUGUAGCUCUCAUCACCAUAACAAAGGUAUGCUGUCCAUUCUUAUCUUUUUUUUUCCAAUGGCAUUAUGCUUAUAACCUCUCUGAUGAAAUGGUCAAACGAAUAUUUGUAGUUGAAUCAUCUUGAUGCAUAAUAGAAGAGUUGCUGGGUUUGGACAUGAGCAUGAUCAAUUAUUGUGGCCUUGCUGUUUCUUGAAAGAUAGUGUGCAAAAAGUUUGUUUUGCUCUUGGAAGGUGUGUGUGAGAGUUUGAGAAAAAAACUACUGCUUUACUUAUGUUUCAACUCCGGUGAGGCAUGUUUGUACAGGUAGUGAAAAUAUGGUGCUUAUGAUUCUCUCGCUGAUUUGGGGAUUUUGAUAGUAGAAUGUGGUUCUAGCCUGGUGCUGCGGUUCAUUCAGUUUCAAGGGAAAUGAUAUAUGUGUGGUUUCUUUGCUUUACAUAAGAUGCAUUAUGUGUUGUCUUCAUCUUGGUAACAUGUGGGCAGAUGUGAUACAUUCUUCAUGUUUCUGGAUUUGGUGCAGGUUCGAGGGUGUAAAUCUACCUGAUAUAUUGUUGACGGGGAUUGAGUAUUGUAGUGAUAUAUCUGAGAAUUUUAAUGAUCUAUCUGCUACCAGGUACUGUACUCAACACAAUUUUUUUGUGUGUGAUUCAACUCAUUUAACUUCAUGUUAAUUUGCUAACAAACCUCCUGCUGCUACAGAUUUCUUUGUACAAUACAUACAAAUUAUUGAUAUGGUAUUUAAACAAUGAAUAAUAGAUGUAAUUAUCCUGUAUGUCAAAUCUACUACUGUUAUUCUCAUAUGGUGAAUCUAAAUACUUCUUUGUAUCUUAGUCAUGAAAGUUCAAAGGCAAAUUUCCGUUGAUCUCAUUAAUUAGUGGUCUGAUUAACUCUCUCCCUCUCACCUCACAUGUAAAAAGAGAAGGUAAGAGGGACCAUGUUAAAAUGUGCCGUUGAGUACAUCCUGCAUCAGUGAGAUAUCAUGCUCAUUAUACCUCAGAGUUGCUAAUAUUUUUCUUUUCACAUAUAGUCCUCUCCUCUUGUCCCCGUUUCUCCAAUGAAAACUGUACUUCAGGCCAAAUGCUGAAGCCUUUACCUUCUUAAUGCUCUGUUUUAUUUGUGUUAACAUGUAUUCCUCAUGAUUACUGUGCAUACUUCUUUUUGAUUUUCUGUAUAGACAAUGAAGGAGAUGGACAAACAUAUAGCUCUAUGGUGAGGUACUAAUUCAACUUUUCUGGUUUUAAUUACCAGUUGUUCUGUGUUCGACUGAGCUGCGUAUAUUUCGUGUUAGCCUUUCGCUGAUUUUAGAACUGACCGCGUUUUGAUGAUUGGUGGUUACAGGGUUGCAUGGAGUACGAAGGCUUGUAUGCUGCAAGAGAUUUAGACACCCAGUUGCUGAUCUUCAGCCCCUUGAUGUUGGUUUACCAAUCUGCAUUCCACACUCUUCAAAGGUUCCGAGGAAGGUGAGUUUUGUAAGUACCAGUCUCUGCAAGAACGCUAAUCUCGGUUCAUUUUCCAUAAAUUUGCAAUAGUUUGUUAUUUGCCGGGACCAACUUUAACUAGGUUGAAAUAAUGAUAUUUUUUGUUCAUUUUAUCUGUUUGUAACACUCUACGUUUUAUUAAUGCAUGAUAGGUGCCUCUAUCAGCCAUUUUUGAACCAGAUAUGCAGCAGCAAGGGAGUAGCCCUAUCACUCUCGAUCAAAACCUCAAAGGGCGAAGGGAGAACGCAACAACAUUCUUCUAUGAUAGUUAAUGUUGUCCCACCUAUACGUUUUAUUAAGGCAUGAUAGGUGCCUCUAUCAGCCAUUUUCUACCAUGUACGGCUGAUACAUGUUAACUGCCAGUUUGUACAGGUACACAGUUGUGUGAUACCCAUGAAUUUUAGUCAGAGUAAUUAUAUGUUCUGUUAUCAUGGUCACUAGAUUUUGUUGAGUACCUUAGUGCUCAACUUAGGAACAACUAAUUGCCAUCUUAGGUCACUGCAUUCCCAAAAUAACUAUGGAAAGUUUACUUUCACAAUACAGUCACAUAUCCAUGUCCCAUUUUUCUUUGUGGUUUCUAUCUAUAUAUUCAGAUUGGACGCAUUUAUAUUGAGUACUUAGAAAUUUACAUAUGUUUCCAGUUGCAUUUUAGUUUAGACAUGCUCUGAUAAUAUGCAAAGUAUGUGGCACAAAAUGAUGGUGCUGGUGUUAUCAAUGGGGUCCAAGGAAAUUUGCACAAAAAUUUAAACAAAAUGAUUAUGCCAUCAAUACUUUCUGAAGCCUUCAACUUUCUCCCUUUUGUCCCUAAACAUGUCCUGUGUUUACGCAAGGUGCAGCAGCAGCAGGUCAUCCACUUCUACCCAAGUUGCCAUGGAAAAUCUAAUGGGUUUACGACUAUCUCAGUUCAUAAUGGUGUGAGCUUUGUAGGAGUGGGAUAUCAUAUACAGUAUGAUAGAUAUGGAAGACAACAAGCAAAAAUUCAAUUAUGAGGUGAUGGUUGAGCUGAUCAGUACAACGUUGUCCCGAAUUUUCUUUUGAUUCUGUUUCUUCUUGGUUUGCAGAUGAUCGGCUGUUUCAAUCUUUUUCUUCUGCUUACAGUCCACCAACAGGAUUGUUGAUGCCCGCAGGAGGGGGACAUCGCAGUAGAUGGGCUGAAGUAGGAGGCUGAGAGAAAUGGGAAACAACGGAUUCUAGCACAUAGUAGAUGCCUAAGAUGUCACUGAAGCGCUAUUGAGGUACAUUCUGAUAACUACAGUUCUAUUGGACAACACUAGCCCCUAUAGUAACAUAUAUGGUCUGAGAUUUUUCUAGGAUCAUUCCUCCCAGGUGAUUACAAACCUGGUCAUAAUGUAGCAUAAGCUAAAUCAAAUCCAGAUUUUCUUC